GAUGAACGCUGGCGGCGUGCCUAAUACAUGCAAGUCGAGCGAACGGACGAGAAGCUUGCUUCUCUGAUGUUAGCGGCGGACGGGUGAGUAACACGUGGAUAACCUACCUAUAAGACUGGGAUAACUUCGGGAAACCGGAGCUAAUACCGGAUAAUAUUUUGAACCGCAUGGUUCAAAAGUGAAAGACGGUCUUGCUGUCACUUAUAGAUGGAUCCGCGCUGCAUUAGCUAGUUGGUAAGGUAACAGCUUACCAAGGCAACGAUGCAUAGCCGACCUGAGAGGGUGAUCGGCCACACUGGAACUGAGACACGGUCCAGACUCCUACGGGAGGCAGCAGUAGGGAAUCUUCCGCAAUGGGCGAAAGCCUGACGGAGCAACGCCGCGUGAGUGAUGAAGGUCUUCGGAUCGUAAAACUCUGUUAUUAGGGAAGAACAUAUGUGUAAGUAACUGUGCACAUCUUGACGGUACCUAAUCAGAAAGCCACGGCUAACUACGUG
Molecule: ribosomal RNA, 497 nt
Filed under: uncultured bacterium
Lineage: Bacteria
Description: partial 16S ribosomal RNA
Rfam family: Bacterial small subunit ribosomal RNA
Source: RNAcentral